This 253-nucleotide ribosomal RNA is filed under the name uncultured bacterium. RNAcentral's name for it is "partial 16S ribosomal RNA". It matches the Rfam family "Bacterial small subunit ribosomal RNA", at positions 524 to 776 of the family's 1533-position model. The record is from RNAcentral.
UACGUAGGGUGCAAGCGUUACUCGGAAUUACUGGGCGUAAAGCGUGCGCAGGCGGUCUUGUAAGUCUGUCGUGAAAUCCCCGGGCUCAACCUGGGAAUGGCGAUGGAGACUGCAAGGCUAGAGUUUGGCAGAGGGGGGUAGAAUUCCACGUGUAGCAGUGAAAUGCGUAGAGAUGUGGAGGAACACCGAUGGCGAAGGCAGCCCCCUGGGUCAAAACUGACGCUCAUGCACGAAAGCGUGGGGAGCAAACAGG